CUCCCCGGUAAUGGGCAAAGAGACACCUUGCUGGUGGUGGUGUUCUUAAAUAAGUCAGGCACAGAGCACAUAGUAGUCUUCUGUUCAUCCUAGCUGGAUGCCUGGCUUGGUGGCCAAAGCUGUUUAUACCUAGGACUCACAA
This is a small nucleolar RNA of Psammomys obesus (fat sand rat), 142 nucleotides long. RefSeq annotates it as small nucleolar RNA SNORA48. The record is from RefSeq and is a predicted model, not a curated record. Lineage: Eukaryota; Metazoa; Chordata; Mammalia; Rodentia; Muridae. The transcript has a single exon.